UCUUUUUCUUCUUCUCUUCACCGUGGGCGGCGCCCUCGCCGCCGCCGACACCGGGGAUCUUCUGCUUGAUCUUGUCCACCAAGCCCUCCUUGUGUUCGCCCUCCUUGUGUUCCCCGCCGUGAUGCUGCUGCUGAUGGUGAACAUCAGUAGUGCCGACACCGGGGAUCUGCUGCUUGAUCUUGUCCACCAAGCCCUCCUUGUGUUCGCCGCCGUGAUACUGCUGCUGAUGGUGGACAUCAGUAGUGUGGUGGUCCCCACUAUGGUGCUCUCCCUUGUGCUUGUCCUCCUCCUUUUGCCCUCCUCCCAUGUGAAGGGCUUCUCCGAUCUUGUGAAUAACUCCUGACAUUUUCCCUUAAAAUGACUCUGUUCCUCUUCUUUUCUUUUCAAUGAAAAAUAGUUGUUUGCGAUCUUCUUCUGGUUGUUGUUGUUCUUGUUGGGUGAUCUUGGCUUGGUAUUUAUAGGCUCCAAAAGGAGGGACUAGAAUUAGGAUUAGAUUAUAGAUUAUUUUAAUACAUUUUAUGGCAAAUUCUGAUUUGGAAAGAUAAGAUUAUCCUUUUGGUUUUCCUUAUUUACCCUUUUGCACCCAUUACGUGUACGCGUCUUCGUGGGCUUUUUGGGUAUUUCAAUUAUAUCGCCAAUGCUAAAUCGACACGUUGCAUAUCAGCCGCGGUACUGCCGUAUGUAGUUGUCCAGAAAUCGAGUCGAUUCUCGAUCGUACAAUAAUUAAAUAAUAUUUCAUACGAAAUGAGUUUAGAUAUAUUUUGAAAAUUUAUUUUUAAUUUAAUUAUACGUGUUAUAUAUUUGUUAAUCGAAUAGAGGUCCCACGUAACAGAGUGUUUCUCUAAUCUUUCAUUGCUUUUAAUUAAUUUUACCCAAAUAAAAAAAAAAAGGAAAAUUUAGAGAGAGAGAGAGAGAUAGCGAAUUAGAAGUUGAUUGUAAUAUCGACACCUGUCAGACAAUCAAAUAUCGUUAGUUAAAAAUCAGUUGUCCAUAGUCAUGGUCAUAGAUGGCGAAAUUGAUACUUAUUUUAAAAAACAAAACAAAACAAAACGAAACGAAACUAAACUAACAGAUGUUGAAAUGCAGUUCCGUGUUAACAGUCUGUGAUGAAUCUUUAUCUUUGAGUAUACCAUUCAAGAAAUUAUCAUUCAAAAAUUUAUUUAAAGCAGCAGCAAAUCACCUUCUAAUUCCUGAAUCAAAUUAAUUCGAUUUUUUUCGAGUCGAUCAAUUCAUUAGAGAAUUAACGGGCUAAGUUAAAGUUUUGUUAGUUAUUUUUUUUUAUAUUCCUUUAGAUGAUAUGAUUGUCAUUGUCUUUCUUUCUCUGGGCAACAAUAAAUACAAGAUGUGCAAAAGCGUAGUGGAACAUAAUUCGAUUAUGGGUAAAGGGAUCAGUCCGCAUAAUGAGGAUAAAGUUUUUCUCUUUAAAAAAAUUUAACCCAAAGAAAAGGUCGUAGUUUGUAAUAGCCGACACGCAGAUAGAUCACAAAGCAUGGCGGUCCUGAUGGCAAUAACUAACUGAUAUCUUCUGCGAUGAGAGGAGAUCACGUGGUUCUGACACGUAUCGCCCCAUCAACUGAUGUUGUGGCUGCAAUCGCGGCCCAGUCUUUAGAGAGAAGAAAGAUCUGUUAUAACGGGACCUACUUUAGCAUCUAUUUACGACAAAGCCCCUAUUUACUCUACUUAGUAGUAAUAAUAGCAAGUGUCGGGCUUGGAUUCCGUGUUGCUUUAAAUAAAUAUCCGCGUAAAAAGAAAAUGCUUCUUUAAUCCCUUCCUUGUAAUUUUUCGACACGUGGAUGGUUGAAAUUAGCGUGCCGACAUCUUAGGAAUUUUAUCUUGGAGACGGGAACACUGCAGUAGGCAAUGCCAUUUUCUUCGGAUGGUGUGUGGUGACAACGCCUUGGAUUUUGACGUGCAAAGAAUUUAAAUUGAAAAAGAAAAAAAGAAAUUACCAGAAUAAGCAUAGAAGAGAUAUUUUUCUUUUUGUCCUUUUUGGAAUGGAAAAAGAGAUCAAGAGAUUGUUCCAGUAAGUAUUACACAUGUCACAGGCUUAUUCAUGCCCCAUUAUGGCAACUUUUAUGCCUCGCGGUGCCCUCGGUUCCAGCAUAAUAGCUAAGACUUCAAUUUUUCUAACAUAUUUUUGUUACAAAUAUGAACGGAGUAAAUGUAUAACUUUAAUCCUUUGAAUAAAGAAAUGGCGGUUCUCCUGCUCGUUAAUCUCACUUGAAUCCCACCCAGGCAAAAUUUCUUUAUUUUAUUUAACAACAAUUUAAAGAAAGAAACUUUUGCCAGGUUGAAUUUCAAGUGAGAUUCAUUCGUGGGAGAAGUGCCAUUUCUUUAUUCAAAAGAUUAUGGUAAUUACAACUUUCAAUUUCGACAUAAAUUAAAAUUAUAGGCUAUACAAUAAAAUUGCCCUAAAUUAGUCCUAAUCAAUUCAGAUUAUAAAUUUAGGUAUAUUUAUUAUUUUAAUAUAUUAAUGUUCUAUAUAUAUAUAUAUAUAUAUAUAUAUAUGUGUGUGUGUGUGUGUAUNNNNNNNNNNNNNNNNNNNNNNNNNNNNNNNNNNNNNNNNNNNNNNNNNNNNNNNNNNNNNNNNNNNNNNNNNNNNNNNNNNNNNNNNNNNNNNNNNNNNNNNNNNNNACAGCAGAAAAUAUUUGCUAUGGAUAAGGAGACAUGGUCCCACGUCCCACCGUCCCAAUGCAUAUUUUGUAUGUUUCCAUCUUUUCUGAAAUUUUAAUAAAUAAAGUUUUUUGACCACUUGGCCAAAGAACCUUACCCUUACACAACUUUGUGGUUGGAGUCCUGUGAUACAUGUAAGAACUUAUUUUUUUUCUUAAUUAUAAUAUUUUAGAAUAUAAUUAAGUGAAGUAGGUUUUUUUUUUAAAUAUGAGUAAAAUAGAUAUUUUUUAAAUAUUAAAGAGAGUAAAAUUUGAAUAAUAAUAUAUUAAAAUUAAUACAAACUAAUUUUAAUAAUUAUUUAAUUAUAAAUAUCAAUUAUAACAUCAUAUAAUAUCAAUUAUAAUAUCGUACAUCUCAAUUAAUUCAAUAAUAAUAAUAAUAAAUGUUUUUUGGGAUAAGUAAACAGUCGCAUGGCGACAAUAGUGGAUCUGGAUUAGAGUGAAGUGGUCCCAAGAGGCUGAGGCUGUGGCUGUGGAGUUCUAAAAGUCAAAAGCUCCACGCACUUUGUUUCAGUACCAUACACACUGAAAAAAUUUGCAUUUGCAAUGACGAAAACUUUUCACGAAAUCAAAACACCUCUAAACUAUUUUGUUAUCGAUAUUUAAUGGAGGGGUUUCCUACCUUUUUAACACUCGAUUCACGCCUUGACGCAUCUCACAGAAAACCUCAUGAUCCCAUUAAUCUUGCGUAACAUAUCUCAAAGCCAAUGCAAGUGAUCUUGUUGCCUACUUCCCUUUGACGAUUCAAAAUUGUUGAAAAUAAUUCUUUUUUUUUUUAACCUCAAGGAAGUGACAAAAUAUAAAAGAAUAUUUUCUACACAUUAAACAUCUAGAUUUUUUUUUCUUUUCUUUUUAGAGUACUUGCACAAACCGUUUCCAAGAGAGACCUUUUUUUUUUUUUUUUUUUUCCGGGCUUGGUUACUAAUUUGGUGUGAAUACUCUAUGGUGAAAAAGGAAUCACAAAGCUGUAAUCAAUUUUUUUGCAUCAUUUAGUUGUAACUUGAACAUUGGGAGGUUUAUAAAGAAUUAAAUUAAUUAUAAUGCCUCUACUAGGAAAAGUUCAGAGUAGCCCUUCACAACUUUUUAAAGGCUUAAUAAUUUUCGCUUUCUUCCUCUCAUAACAUAACAAAAAAUUAAGAGCUUUACUCGUACACGUCCUAUGGCUAUAUAGUAUUGGGUUCUCUACUUCAAUCGGCUAUCUCAAACCGAAGGUUAUUUGGACACACCAGCAGUCACGUUUGGAAACUCUCAAAUGCUUGGAUUGUAAUUCUUGUGGAUGAGAUCAUCUAAAUCUUGGGCCCAAGCCGGACAAUGGGUGGACAAAGAACCCUAAAAUACAGUAAAGCUUCUAACACCCCACUAAAACUCUUAAGAAAUCCUACCUUUUAUUUUUAUAUCUCUUUCUUUUAGAAAUUAUAGAGAAGACAUAGCAUUUUAAUUAUUUUCCCUGCCAUUGAAAAUAAAUUCUGUAAACAUAUUUUUUCAUAAUAAAAUUAUUGUUAUUAGAUAAUUUAUUUCUUCAUUGUUUCAAAAUUAUUAUAAUUUUAUCAACAAAAUUAGUUAUGUCAUAUAUUAGGAUUAAAAUUAAUUAGGAUCCAUAACUUGUAAAGACAUUUUAGUUUAAUUGAAUUCAUAUUUGUCAUUUUAUGUAAUUUUCAAUAAAAAUACGACUAUGAGUGCAAAAGUGGGAUGACAUAAUAUUAAAAGAGUGUGAAAUAAUCGGUAAUUGAAAUGGAUUGAAAUCAUAAUAGAGUAUGAAAAUCAGAAUAAAUUGUUUACUUUAGUUGUAGAAAUCAAAAUUAAAAUAAACCAUAUUAUCAUUGAUGUAUAUAUGUUUUCUUGUAAUCGAAAUGAAUUCUUAUAAGUUACUAUAAGACCCUUAUGGUGUGUUUACUAAUCAGAAAUCAGAAUGGAGUGGAAUUUGAAUAUAGAAUGGUAGGGGUAUUCGCGGAUCGGAUUUUACGGAUUGGACAUUAAUUCAUAUCCGAUCCAUAAUUUUACGGAUUAUAAAUUCUCAACACAAUCCAAAUCCAAUCUAUAUGUUUGCAGAUCGGAUGCGGAUUUGACUCAAUUCAUAUCCAAUCCACUAUUUGACGGAUUGAUUUUGGAAUUAAAAAUUUUUAAUUUUGUCCAAUCUAUGAGGUAAUUAAAUUUAAAAAUCUAAUAUAAAAAUAAUUUAUUAAAUAAAAAAUUAACGUAAAAAUAAUUUUACUACCAAUUAAAUUCAAAAUUGAACAAGAUUUAAAUAAAUUAAUUAUUUAAAUAAAACUAGAAUAAUUUAUUUAAAAUUUUUAAAUAUAACAUAUCGAAAAAAAAUUCAUUUGUUUAGAUUAAUAUAUGAAAAUUAACUAAAAUUAUGAAUUUAAAUGUUGAAAUUUGAGAGCUUGGAUGUAACAGGAAGAAAUUAAGAAACUUGAAGAACUUGAAAAGAAAGUAACAAAUUAAGCUUAACUACCUCUAAUGGUGAAGUGAAACAGUGAUGGUUUGUGCGUGCAAUGGGGUACAAAUUUGGCAUUAUAUGCCAAAAUAUUUUGUUUGGCUUUAGAAUUUUUAAUGUUUAGGAAGCUAUAUUUGUUUAUUUAAUUACUCAAAUAUUUAAUUAUUUUUUAUUUUAUGUUAUUAUUGAAUAAGAUAUAAUAUUGUGUUAAUUUAGCUAUACUUUAAUUAAUUAAUUAAUUUAUUAGUAAGUAGCAUUGCUACAUUUAUAAGUUUUAUUUUUUAUUAAAUAAAUACUUUUUUUUUUCAGAUUCACGAAUUUUUACGGAUUUACAGAAAUAAAUCCAUAUCUAAUCCAUCGACUGUGGUUUUUUAAAUUUUCAUUCCAAUCCGAUCUACCAAUCCACAAAUUAUAUUUUUACGGAUCGGACGAAUUGAGCGGAUCAAAUUGGGUUCUGAACACCCCUAGAGAAUGAGAAUCAAAAUAAAUUAUUUACUUUAGUUGUGUGAAUCGGAAUUGGAAUAAAUUGUACUGUCAUUGAUGUGUUUACUUUAUCUUGGAAUCAGAAUGAAUAAUUUCAAAUUACUAAACUGACCUUAAUUUUUUAUUGUAAUAAUAAUAGUAGUAGUAGUAGUAAUAGUAGUAAUUUUCUAUUAUUAUUAUUAUUUUCUCUCUCUUUUGUUUUUAUUUUUUUAUUUUUCUCUUCUUCUUCUCUUCCUCUUUUUUUAUUUUUCUCUAAUUCAUCGAUACUUCUUCUUCUUCUUUUUUCUUUCGUUUUUAUUUUUAAUUUUUCCCUUCUUUAUCGUUCCUUCUUCUCCGUCCAUUCUCUAUCUUCAAACUCUUUUUACUUUUUCUCUUAUUCUUCAUUACUUCUUCUCCCUUUUUUUUUUUUUUCUCUUCUUUAUUAAUUCUUCUUCUUCUGCGUCUAUUCUUCAUCUUCAAAUUAUCAAGUGAAAAAUACCCACGGUGCCUUACAAGAAGAAUUGGUUUUGUUUGCUUCAAUUAUUUUUUGUAUUUUGUACUUUUGAUUGUUUCAAAAGAGGAUAAACUUGUAAUAAUGCAAUUUAAGUAGGGAUGUUUUAGACAAUUUUGGGUAUGAGAGUCUAAUUCCCAACCCCCCACUCCCUCGUAGCAGACUCCCAUUCUUCAUUCCUAACUUGGUGUUGGACCUACUAAAAUAAAUCCCAUUCCCCUUCUUAUUUCAAGAAGCAAACACGAUUUUGAUUUCAAUUCCCCAAUCCGAAAGUAAACGCACAAAAAUUGUACCCAUAUGAGAUUGCUUAUCCUCGAGUUUUUAGAUUGAAAAAAAAAAAGGAAAAAAGAAUGGCCCCAUUAGGAAGGGAUUUUAAGUGUUAGAUAAAGCCGGUGUUAACCAUUAGAAGGUCUCCGACCUUCAACUGUAAUAUAUUAAACCCAGAUAAAUUUACAUAUAAAUCACACAAACCAACAUGCCAAUCAAAUAAAUUACAUCAACUAACAACAAUUGACACAUUAAUUUUCAUAAUACAGAGGAUGCAGAAAAUUAAAAUGUUUUAUCUUUUCUCCUUAUUUGUGAAUUGGAAAAUGAAAAUGUUAAACAUACAGAAGAGUGAAACAGGAUGGAUAUAUAUACACACACACACACACACAGCUUUGGAGUUCAAUGUCAUCGUAUUGCUCCAAGAAGAUUGGCGCCAUCAAGCUUUGCACCUUCCAGAUGCUGUUUAAUCAUCACCAUAACACCUUCAGUAGACAUUAAUACAUAAUAGAAACACAAAAUUCACAUGAUCUGAAUGUCUGGUCUAUUUUACUUACCGUAUCUCGAAGAUUUACGUGCCGUAAAUAAGCUCUUUGAAGGUUGGCACCCUUUAAAUUGGCAUUACGUAGCUUUGCACCCUGCCGCAUAAAUGUUCGAAGUUUCAACAAAUUAAAGUCUCCUGAGAAAUACAUGUCACGAAAAAGUAGGGCUGAAACUUGCAUCUAAUGUACAAGAUUCAAUCAGGGGUGCUUGUCCCACAGUGAAAGUGUAUGGGGGAAAGUGCACUUUCACAAACCAAAGGGGCAAGAUGUGAUUAUCACACGAUUACAAAAGGACUGUAGUCAAGAGAGAGAACUGAACAUGCAGCUUGUAUUGAGGCCAUGAAAAUUGAUGAAAAGCAGUAACAAGCAACCAUUUUGAAAACACUUCAUAUGGUCGAAUCAAUAAAUCAAAGCUAAAAUGAUGUUGACGAUCGAUAGCUUUUAGGUGAUAAGAGUCUUGGCACUACAGUUAAAAUUAUUAUCUAGGAGUGCACACAUUAAUAAAAAAAAACACAACCAAUAAGCAUGCACUCUUAAUCAGCAUAUAAAUUAACAAGUUAGUUGCACCUUAUGUUGUUCCACAAACAGAUUGCUCGAACAAUUCACAAUCUUACCUUCAAAUUAGCUCCUUCCAAAUUAGCUCCCUCUAGGUUGGCAUUAGUAAGAUCAGCAGUCUGAAAAGUCAAGAGGACAAACAGAUUGCAAUUUGAUUAAAAUCUCAAAGUAGCAACAUUCUGCAUGAAAGAAGAGCAGCACAAUUGGCAACAUACAUUUUAGAUUAAGAGGAUGGGAUAAAAGCAAAAUUACAAGGACAUGAAGCAAAUGAGCCAUGUUUAGUAUGGCAAUUUUGACCCAAUAAUUGUGGCAGGUCUUGGAGAUAACAUAGGCAUACACAUAAGGCAGAAGCAAAUACUGUCGCAAACUCCUAGCUAACUACAAAUGUUCCAUAUAGAAAAAAACACCUGCAAAAGUAAGGGAAAAAGCAACAGAUAAAGAACUCAAGAUGCUAGACCUGUAAGUGUGCAGAUCGCAGGUCUGCUCCACAGAAGCUGCAGUCUAUCAAGCAAGCAUCUGCAAUGAUUUAAGAUAAAUUUGAAUCCAAAUGACAUUUUACCGCAAGUAGUUCCAGCCAUUUUGGGAACAAACAAGAAAUGCUAUUUUGUAUUCAUUGUAAUUCCUUAAGCUAAAUAACAAUCAUGUGCUAUCUUAACCAAGGUACAGUUGCAAAUUCUGAAAUUGUGAUGCCAUAGGUUGUUCUUAAUCUUUUUGAACUGAAUAUUGAAAAAAUAUUCCUUCAAUCAUAAAUGUUAAAUAAUUAAAAGAACUGUGAGGGGGGNNNNNNNNNNNNNNNNNNNNNNNNNNNNNNNNNNNNNNNNNNNNNNNNNNNNNNNNNNNNNNNNNNNNNNNNNNNNNNNNNNNNNNNNNNNNNNNNNNNNNNNNNNNNNNNNNNGGGGGGGGGGGGGGGGGAAUGAAUAAGCGGAUGCAUACAGAAAAUUAUGGAAAAUCUGUUAUGGAAAUAAUAUGAAAAUGGGUAUGCAUAACUACAUACUGAAUCUUGACUAAUUUCAAUUUAAUUCAGAUAAGAAAUUCCAGUAUGGGAAUUGCCUUGUAAAUUUGCACUCUGAAGAUUUGCACCAGCUAGUAAAGCUCCACGAAGGUUUGCCCCAGCAAAUUCACAUCUUCCCUAGGCAAGAUAAAACCCUUAAAAGGCAAUUUUGAAAAAUACAUAUAAUUGGGAGAAUAUCCAGUAUUGCUUUGACUCUCUUACUCACGCAAAGUUGCAUUGUGAAAAAUGGAACCCUCAGCAUCCACAUCCUGUAUCAAGAACAGACAGAUUCAGUAUGAUUAAUAUAACUGGUUGCUGGAAGACAGGACAAAAUCGCAUCUUGUCACUGUCAACUUGCAUGUUAAGAAUUAAACACGAAAACUGCAUGCUGUCCAAUUAUAAGAAACCUAUAAAAUUCAAAUCAACAUCAAUACUGGCUUAAGGAAGAUAUAAAAAUAAAAAUUAUACCAACCCGAAAUUUCGCAGAUUGAAGAUUUGCACGUGAGAAGAAAACAUUUCUAAGACACGCAUAGCUGAAGUCCACAAGUGAAAGAUCCUGGCCAUUUUAAUAAGAUAGCAUCAGAGGAAACAAUAUCUAAUGAAUAUAUAAUGUUCUUUCUUGCUUAUCUGAGAAUACUAAUGAGAUUAUCAAAAAAACUCUAAGCUACUGCUAAGAAGUCUUGUGUUACAUGAGUAUGAAUUGAGGAGGUAAAGAAGACCCUUCUCCAAUAAGUUACCAUAGAAGCCACAUAAAACCCUAAAGCAGUUACAAACUUACAAUGACCAGAAUAAACCACCCCAACUAUCUAUUGGCAAGUAAAAUCACUUCUCUGGAUUUCUGAAAACUAGCAAAACAAAUGCAUAAAUUGGCAAAUUCGAUGAUUUCCUCUGAAAACCAAAUUAUAGCAGACAUAAAACUUGGAAGUAUUCAUAGAAUAAAAAUCUUUCAAGCACCUCAAUUCAGUAAUUAUUACCAGCUUAGAAAGAUCAAGGCCAGAAAGAUUAAGUCCUCGAAAUCUGACUUUUUCAGACUGUAUACACUUGAUGAUAUCAAUGCGUGUUAGCUCAGUAUCUAACUCAUUAUCUUCCUUUCUCUUAUUUAUGACAGCAUGGAUUCUCUCAAUUAGUCCCUGAAAUGAAACACAUUAGAUGCAAACUAUUAUUUGAAAAAAGAAAUACAUUUUAUCCACUAACACACAUGGAUUUCAACAGCAAUCAUACAAUAAUUGAGGAAGGACGGUCAUAUCAGACUCAUCUGCCAAGAUUCAAUAAGCACAUCAAACUUGUUUACAUGUAAUUUCCACAUUCCACGUGAAUUUAUAAGGUCUGCCUAAGCAAACCAAAGAAGGCUACACUCAGUACUGUGUGUAUACUGCCUUACCUUUGCUGUUCCCCAGAUACCGUCCUGCAAUCCAGAUACUUAGCUGUGAAGUUUCAAGCCAGCGAAACCAUUUUAAAAGUACACAUGGACACAGAUACCAUUAUCUGAAUCAUCUUCGAUAACAAAUUAAAAUGCCCUAGCGUUCAAAAAACUUAGGAUCUCUUUAAGUGAAGUUCCUUUAAAAAAGUAGAAAAAAACUGAACAACAAUGUCAUGCUAAUAAAAGGUAAAAAAAAUAAAAUAAAAUAAAGCAUAAGGACAGAAGUUCACCAGGAGCAUGCCAGUAUAAACCAAAACGACCACAAAUCUCAACCAUAAAAUUUAAAGUAGUAAAGUAAAUAAUCAAGGGCAUGCAGUUGGCACAGGUGCUUCCAAAUAAAAUGAUGAUUCUUUUCAAACAGAAAAAAGAAAUGGAUGUUAAUAAACUAGAAGAAACCAUGUCUUACAAGUAAUUGAUAAUAUUCUGCUUCCCGUAGAAGCUCUAAAAACUCUGACUCUGUUAAUGUGGGGACAGCCCCAUCCCUUAACCAAUUCAGAAUAUGCCGAAAAUGUUUUCCGUCCCUAUCAACAAAGAUAUAGCCCUGCAAUAAUUCAAUAUGCUCAAAGAUAAGAAUCUGAAUAAUAUACCCAAGAGAAGUGCUUUUCCCUGGAAUAAUAAAAAGAAAAUAAGUCAAAACGUUUUUCUUAAUGGAAGAACACAAAGGAACAGCUCUAUGACUAACAUGAAAACCAUAAAUCAGAAUAAGAACCCAAAACUGGUCAUUUGGAGUUUCACCAGAUCAAAAAGAUCACAUGGAAAUAAAAUUGUGAAAAUGGGAUUAUUUAUGCCGAGGUCAUGGCUAAACUGCAAUCAUUACUCCAUUUUUGGUAGAAGGAGAAGAAGAAAGAAGAGUAGGUGAGUCAUCAUUCUUUCAGGUGAGUCAUCAUUCUUUCUCUGUGAUUAAUUGAUAUGAUGGAAGUGUUGUAGAUAUUAAUUUGAUAGUGAUUCCUCCCUUCAAAAGAAUUCAUUCCUUUUUUUAUUAUUUCACAAAGUUUAACUAAGACUGAGUUUUCUCAAUUUGAAGGCAUCGUGCACUCUACCCCUUUCUUUUCCUCACAUUGCUUCUUCCCAAUCCCAAAGGGAAGAAAUCAAGAAACAAUUACAAUUUUUAACUAUUCACCAGCAAAAACAAGGCAAAGAAAGAUGCUGAGUGUAAGCAAAAAUAAGAGAGUUAUACACCUCAGAGUCUUGGCACACAGUAUGGCGACCGCUGAACAUAGCUGCAAGCAUAGAUUCAGGCUCACGACGAGUCAGAGUAUCAAUUGUUGUAUAAAAUUUCUUUCCCCCUGGAUAUUAAUACAUAAAAUAUAAAUUUGUUCACUUAAAAGCAUGAAUUGUGCAAAUUUGUCAAUAAUGUCAUUCUUUCACAAACGUUCACCGAAAUGUAUAACAAUAAGUGCAUCAUAACAUAACUAAACGGCUUAAGAACUGCGCAGAUAUUACAUACAGUAGAGAAACAAGAAAUAGAAAAUGAGAUUUGCCCUUUUUAAACAGAAAGCAAUCAAAGAGUAAACUAAAGAGCUAAUAAUUCACAAAAUUCAGUUGAUUAAACUCAUUUACAAGUAAUUAGCAACAAAAUCCAAGCUAAAUAAAAAUAAUGAAAAUUAGGUUCUUAUAACAUCCGUCAAUUCUAUGAAAGUUUACCACGAUCAGCAACAAAUAGAUAAAUCGCAAUAAAGAAAAACCGACGACAUGUCGGUUGUGUAGUGCAUAAGUAAAGGAAUUUGCAGAUGAUGUAAAGAGAAUGAGGGAUAGUAACUGACCGAUGUUGAGACGAACCAUUGAAGACGAAUCGGAGUCCUUCGCCAUUGUCGAGUGUAAUGACUUGUCGUCUUACUUGCGCUCAUAGGUAUUUAUAUCAUAGCUGACACUGUUCGAAGGACAGCAAGGAUUUGGUGGGCACAAAUGCAUUUUGGAAAUUGGGCUUCGGCCCAAGAAAUCGAAAAUCAGAGGCUUUUUUUUAAAAAAAAUUUAAAAGGAUUAGAAUGUCUAUAAAUUAAUAGGGCUGAGACCAUCUUAAAUCUAUUAAGUAAAAGAGAUAUUAAAUAUUUUAUUAAUUAAUAAUUUAUUAAUUUACAGAAUUAUUUAUAAUUCAAUUAACAUACAUUUAAUAACUAAACAUUCAAUGUACAUAAUUUCUGAUUACAAUUCAAAGCACUAACAAUACUUCAUAAUUUCUUAUUACAAUUCAAGAAUUCAACCUCAUAGCUUUUAGAUGCAAUAAGAAAAAUAAGAAAUAAGAUUCAGUUAUAUUUAAAUUUUAAGAAAAAAACAAUAAAAUCAUAUUUUAUGUAAUUAAAAUAUCAUAGUCAACUACAUUUGUAAUUUCAACAAAUUAUUACUCUAUGAUUUAAAUGAGACCACAAAGUUAUAUAAGAUUUUAUCGAAAUUAUUAAUUUAAUCCAUUAGUCCAUGUCAAGACCUUGAAAAUUUAAUAAUUAUAUAAUAGAGAUUAUUAAUUUAUCGAGUAUUAAUUUAUAGAAGUUCUGAUUGUAUAUUAUUUUAUAUUAAUAAAGAAUAAAGUAGCAUUCUUUUUUAAUUCCGAAGUAAUAAAAUUAUGGCUAAAUUAAGAGAGUAGAUAUAUUUUAUAACUUGGUUUAAUAACAUCACGCGCCUCCCUUGUAGUUUUGCAGCUUUGAAGCUUUAUAAUGAAUCCUAUUAGCUUUGGCUGGAAAGUUAUAUUGUUAAAGAGAGUUUAUAUAUUAAACAAGGUGAUCUAAUAUUUCCAAAACUAAAUUUGGGAUCAAAAAUAGAAAACAUUUGCAUGUUUUUACCUUUUGGAAGAAUUACUUGAUAAGUGCUUCACAGAAAAAUGCUUGCUAUUAUAGAGCACCCUAAAAAAAAUCCUUAAUAAUUGAGGGAUCAUAAUAAAGUUCAAUUCUAAAUCUGUCAGAUAGAUCGAAAGUAACAAACCAUAUAUAUUUAAAUCUAUUUAGUAAUCCAGGGUUACAAGCCAAGCGUGCAAUAGCCAAUUCUGAAAAUCAAAGCUCAGCCUAUGCUCUCUGAGCACAAAUAAGAUCUGAUAUAUACAUAUCGAAUCCUCCAUUAUGUGGAGUGAAAUUUCCAUCGUGUACGGUGUACCUAACAAUGAGAAAGCAUGGCAGCAUAAAUUCAUCUUCCAUGUUAUUCUACUUAUUAGUACUGGUUCCCUCAUAACUUCUCCAAAUCGGGGAGGUCUGCAAUGUGUAAAGCACGUAAUCAGAUAAAAGAAAGAGAGCCAAAAAAAAAAAAAAAGGUAACAGCCAAAAGAUUAAAUUUCUUUGAGAAAUAGAAAAUGGGAGCUUUUGGCAUAGGCACAGAAUAGAAAGUAACAGAGUCAUUUACAGUUGUUCAGAAUAUGCAAGCUGAAAACAACUUUGAAUGCAAUGGACAAUUCCUCCAACAAACAAUCGAAUUGGAUUGUGGAAGAGACAAAAGCUUAAUGAGGUUAUGGUUUUGGCUAGGUGAACUCAAAAUUCUUUUAUAGACCAAGUAGGUAAAAACAAAUCCCAUAUAGAUGGAUGAACCUCAUACCAUGAACAGUUAAUCGCGAACACUUGCAGGCUUAUGCACACGACUAUGAAGAUACUAAGGGUUUCACCGAUGGUAAGUGAAAAAUAUAUGAUGUAUAAUUUAAAUGGAAGCACAUAGUUUCGGAUUGAAUUCAAGGUUAAAGUUCCACAGACAGACAGAAGAGAUGAAGCUUAAAAACUUACAGAGCAUUCCUUCAUCAUCACUGCUUUCAUCAUUUUGGCCAACAUGCUGAAAAAAGAAUAUGAUUCAAGUUAAAUGAUUGAGCAACAAUAAAAAACGUGCAAAAUUAAUGCUCUCUCCACAAAAAUUUCAGUCUAUAUUGGUAAGAAGAAACAGGAAGAAAAAAUUACCUCAGCAUCAUCGUCAUUGGAAGCCAAAUCAGCUGUAAAGACCACAAAAUGUUUGGUUAGAACCAGUGGAAGUCUUACUCUAAAAUUUUUAAUUUUUGAAUUUCGAAAGAUCUCGUAAUGACAAAGAUUUUCAUAUCCAGUGACCAAGUUUUGAAAAUUAGAAUACGGAAUGACAUCAACUAAAUUCACUAAUAUAAGCUAGAGGAAUCCCUAGUAGAUAUAGCGCACAUGCACACAUGAUAUGCAUCCGAAUACACAAUAAUAAAUUAUCUCAAAGUCAAUAAGAAGCCAAAAUUAGAGAUAAACUUUUAGCCACUAUAAGGAAGACUGAUAUUUGCAGUGUGAUUACAAUAAACAAACAGAAACUUCACUACCCAUAAGUAAAACAAAAUAAAUAAAGGAUAAUAACUAACCAAGAAAUGGAAAAGCUCACAUUCUCUGAACACGCACCCCAAAAAGAAAGAAAGAAAUAAAUGUUCUCAUUGGAUCUGAAGCACAAGCAAUCCACUGACAUCCUUCUAUAAUUAGGUAAUUUAAAGGGGUUAAGCUCACAUCUUUUACGGAAGUAAGAAGAGAAUUAACAACCUUCCAGAGGAUUUAGGGAAAUACCACGAGGCAAGAAAAAAGAAAUAUCCUUCUUCAAUCUAGAUAUCCUGAUACUGCUCACCAUCUACAACAGUCUGUGGCUUAAAAAGCAGGUCACUGAUCUCUCCCUCCCUCUGGCACCAUUUUCUCUCAUGUCUCAUUUUUCCCUUCCUGCCAACUCCCACUACAGUAUUGAAACCUAUUCUAUCAACUCUUCCCCCUCCAAUAACAAGACCAAAACCAAUUUUACUCGCCGGUUAGCUAGGUAGUAAAUGGAAAUUUGUGAAUCUGUCAUUCAUCCGUAGAAACAAACCAGAACUGCAUAAAUUCUCUUCUCUCCCAACAGCUUCUUUUCUCCAGAAAUAGGCACAAGUAUUUGACAUGGAAACAGUUUAUCUAACAUGGCCACCUUUAAAGACAAAGACAUACUAAGGACGUGGUUUUAGAUACGGAUACAAGAAACAAUCACAAAAUGUAAAAUCUAUACAUAUGAUAUUAAUUUCCAAUGGAUACAGCAAUUCAUUCUUUGACAUAACUUCAUCAGAUUACUAGGUUUGAUUAGGUUAUACACACAUUUAUUCAUUUAUUGAAUCUACAUGCACUUAGAAUGAGAGGUACCUAUAAAAACAAGUUACCAGAAAACAAUACAGCUAGAAAACAUUAAUCUAAGUAGUUCUAUAGGUUUAACUAACUGCAGGAAAAAACCAUUGAUUUUGUCCGCCAGAUUAUCGAGAUCCUAAUUCUGGUAAAAAGAAAAUGAGAUAAUAGAAAAUCAAAAAUUAAAUAGACACAAAAUGAGAAAUCAAGAUCAUAUGGCAACUAAUAUAUAGCAUGGGCUGCAGCUAACAAGCAAUAUAAGCCAUGAUAUUAUGCCAGAUACAAAUUUUGAGAUCCAAGAGAGAUCAAGAAGCAUGAAUACCACUAAAAUAUCGAAAGAAGUGAGUGCAGAAGGAUAAGAAAUCAGGUUGAUAUUCUUCAUACUUUGGAUCAACACGUAGUGAUGCAAUAAACUUGUAAUUAGCUUCAAAUGUAUAGGCUACCAUGUCAACAUUUCCGAAAACACACAAGAUUGUGCUGGAUUCAUACAUAGUACAUAUAUAAAAAAACAAUCUGCUUCUAAACUUCAUGAGAACAUCGAAUAAUGAACUUACAAUUUGAUCCCUCAUCAUCUUCAUCGCACCAUUUGUUCCAAUCAACCUUAAUGUAAGGUGCUGGUUUCUCUUCUGACUUGAGUAGCCUUUUCCACCAACCUUUCUCUUCUUUUUGGACCGAGCAUAUUAUGUUCCUUAAGCCAACUUUAGUCUUACAUUUCUGCACCACCAGCAACAAAACUCAAAGCAUUACAAAAGAGGUAUAUUUAGCCGCUCUUGACUCGAGUGAGAGAACAGGAUAAAUAGCCUAGGUAUAUCCACAUCCAUGUUAUGAGAUUGAUUAUGCAACAGCUAACUUUAAUAUAAAGCUUUUGCUUCAACAAAGACUAAAAUGUUUGUAAUUGUUAUGCUUUUGGAGCUAAAAUGUUUGGCAAACACCCACUUUUACUCUGCACCUAAUAUCUACCACCCACCCACACACUAAGUCUCUCGUUUGGUACAGCUAUUUAUCAGUAGUGGCUUUAAGCCACAACAUUUAAAGCGAAUUUACCCUAAAAUUUUACAAUGAAAAACCUAUACUACCUUUAACAUUGUUGUCAAAAUUAUUAUUAUAAGUAAUAUUUACCAAACACUAUCAACUUCCAAUUCAUAUCAAAGAGCUUUCACUCCACAAUAGCCGUGUCUUCUUAAGCCAGAACAACACAAUACCAAAGGCCUUAAGCUAGUGAUUUGAUUUCACAACAACUGCAGAUCAAGCCUCAAUCCCAAACAUACAUAAAUCAAAUGCAGAAAGCAAAAAUUUAACAAUAUGUUUGGUAUACUAAAUGUCUUUCAUAGUUUCAUUUCACAGGGUAUUUAGACAUGCAAUGAUAAAUUGGAGCAAUUUCAAGAACCGAAUUGACCUCAGGUAAAAUUUUGCCAAAAAGUUCCAAGCUGAAGUCGUAAAGCUCGCCUUGGACUCCGACGGCCGAGAAGCCAAAAAUCCCCUGAGGCUCGCAUUUCACAGAAAUGUCUUUCGCAUCGGGUAAUGAAAUGGUAAGGUAUACUUUAUCGGAGCGCUGAGCCCAAAGAACCUCCGGAUGGCGACUGAACAUAAAAGAAAUAAUAAUAAUAAUAAUAUUAUUAUUUUUUAUUGUGACAAUUUUGAACUAAUAAUUAGAGACAUUUAACAACAAUAUUGAUUAAUAUUGGAGAAGAAAAAUAAGGUUACAAGAGAGAAUCAGAAAGAUUACCUCAUUCUGGUGGAUGAUUGAAAACGGUGGGUCGAUUGAUGAACAGAAGUGUAACUGUCUGGGAGUGAGAGUGACUCUGCUGUUUACUGGGUAGAGUGUGCUUACUCGAAGAAAUUGAAAGUGAUAAUCUCGGGCAAGCCAACACGUCGAUUUGGUCAACAGUGGUCCAACAAACCAGGAACUAGGUUUUUUUUUUUAAAUGAUUUUUUUUUUCAGUAUUAUAUUGCCCCGCCCGUGGGCUAUUACAUUUUGGCCCUUUUGGGGACCCCUCGUUCUCUUACAAGAAGGGAAUAUUCUUUUCCAUCCACCGGUUUGUAGGCAGAGUACAUAUACUCUUCGAAAUUAAGGACAAAUUUCUGAAUCGUGCCGCAUUAGAAUUAAAUUGAGUCUCAAAAGAAUUUUGGUUAUAAGUAUAUCGUUCAAACGGUAAUAUAUUAAAAAAAAUAAUAUUUACUACAAUGUAGACCUAUCGGGACUUUGAAGCCCAGACCAAUUCUUGAGUCUAGCCUAAUAACACCUCAACAGAUCAAAAUUGAAAUCCAACUUAAAUUUCAAUAUUGUGUAGGGAUCUGCCUUAAUUUAGAUAUGUCAAGACCUGCCUUAGGCAUCAAAGUGAUCUAUCUUAACAUAACUAAGACUUUCUUUAAACAUCACAAUGAUUUAUCUUAACGUAGUCAAAUCUAGCCUAAAAAAAUCUAAAGAAGGAAAAAAGAAAUUAUUUUCACGUAUUGAGAGACUUAAAUUCUUAACCUUAUUCAUAAGAAAAAAAAGUGUAUUACUUAACUAAAUCGUGACUAAAAAUUAUAAUUAUUAUUUUUUGUACAUUUAGCUUUAAAAAAUCAUUAUAUAUAUAUAUUCAUAUAAGUUUUGACAUAAUAUACAUACCACUUAUUUGUUUUUUAAAUUAUACGAGAAUGAAAAAACUCAAGCAUUAAACACCAACUUUUGUUUCAUGCUAUCAAUCAACUUGAGAAAUUUUAUAAUAUAUCGGAAGUUCUACGUCACAAUUUAAUACGAAGCCUUCGAUUAAUAAUAAUUAGACACAUGACAAUAGAUGCUAGAGAAAUUUUAAAUUCCCUCUUUUCAUUAUCCCUCCAAAUUUAGAAUUUCAAAAAAUUAGAGAAUAAAUGUUGCUUGCUCUCUUUGUUAUCUAAUUCUAAUUAUUAUUUUUUUCUCUCUCUCUCCAAUCAAGUUGCUAGCAUUUUUUAAAUCUAUUGAAGAAUAAGAAGAAGGUUUUUGUCGAUGAAAUGAUUUUGGCAGCCUUUUUUACCCAAAGCUAACAUGAUUGCUGCGACUACCAAUGAAGAAAAAGAUGUGUUUUGCUGGCGAAGAAGAUGAUUUUUGAAGCAUGAGUGGCUGCCGUUUAUUUUUUUCCUUCAUAUUUUUCGAUGUAGUGGCUGUCCUCAAGUUUUAUUCAUUUACUUUUCAGUUGGCCUACUAUUUAUUGGCAUAAUGAAAAAUUUUAUUUUAAUAAGCAUUUAUAGAUUAAUUUGAGGAGGUUUCUUUUGCAAUAUUAGUGUGGUUUCUGCAUUGGUAUGAUUUAAAUUACGAACUUGCUACAAUCUUUAAUUAAACUGUCAAAAGUAAUUUAAAAAAUCUUUAAUUAAACCGUCAAAAGUAAUUUAAAAACUGACAGUAGAUAGAUUAGAGAUAGGCUUGACAAUUUAGCCCGACUCUAUUUUUAGUCUGAUUGAUCCGAUCCUAAUUUUUAAGACUUUGGCCUGAAUUUUUUGAUUUCGGGUCGGGUUCGGGUCAAAAUUUUAAGGCCCGAACAAAUUUAGGGUCAGGGUCGGACUUAAAACCAACCCGACCCGACCCUAUUUAAAAAAAAAAAAACUAACACACGCACACAACACAUGACAGUUCACUCUCUCUAAAUCGUAAAUCACACACACAAAAUACACUUACACAAAUUCACAAAAACCCUAAGCCAGCCACCCAGCCUGCUGCCGUCCUAUCAGCCAACAUCGUGACCGUCCGCCGCACGCCAGCCAAUCAGCCGUCGUCUCGUCGUCGCAUGUCUCACCAAUCAGCCAUCGUGACCGUCUGCGACGCUGCGACAUGAACUUGAACCAGCCGCCCUUUGUCGCCGUCCUGCCGCAUCCGCCUGCCAGCCAACGAUCAAUGCACACAGUUGAAUUGUGGGGUGGGAAAUGGUUUCGAUAGGGUCGGGCUCGACCCGACCCUAACUAUAAAGAGGUAGGGCUUUUUUAGGGUCGGGUUUUAAUUUUUUGUUGAUCGGGUCGGGUCGGGUUUGGCCAAACCCGAGCCCGACCCGACGUUUUGCCAUCCCUAAUUAGAGAUGAAGAUUGGAGAGAGAGAAAAAUAUAAUUUGAAUGAGAUAAUAAAGAGAGAAGAAAUUCUAUAAUACAUCAUAAGUAAUAUAACUCAUUGAUGUAUGCAUGAUAUAUGUAAUUAACCUUAAUAUAACUAACACUUGUAUGGUGAUAUUUCAAAAUAAAUAUACAUAUGUUAUAAAAUCAUUUACUUAUUGUAUGACUGACAUUUUAUUUUUGAUGUAUUGUACAAUUUCUCAGAAGAGAGUAGUAUUUAUUAUCUCUAAUUUUUUGAAAUUCUAAAUUUUGGAAGGAUAAUAGAAAGAGAAAUUUUAAAAAUUUUUCAACGUAUAAUGCCAUGUAUCUAAUUAUUAUUAGUCGGUGUUCCACGUUAAAACGUAAUAUAGAACCUCUGGACCUUACUGUAUAAUGUACUGUAGAAUUUCCUGAUCACACACUUUCUCAGUUGCAAAAGAGGUGGGCAUAUGAGUUCCUUACGGGGAUUUAGUGUGAAUCCACGCAAAGCCCAUAUAGAUUUUUCCGGUUAACCGCUAUGGCAUCCUAGUUUUAAACUCAGUACUAAAUUUACAGAUCCAUUUAAACCCCCCAAAUCAGUCUCUCACCGUCUCAAGUCUCAAACAAAAAACCUGACCGGAACCCAAACCGCCAAAUCCGAUUCGAUGGUGGACUGUGCUAAAACCCCUAAAAUUCCAAGACUGACAUGCGGUAAAGGAGAUGGUGAUAGACUUAGCAAUCUUCCGGAGCACAUCAUUUAUCACAUAUUCUCGUUCAUGGAAACAGUUGAUGUUGUUAGAGCAAGCACUGUUUCGCGAAGAUGGAGGUACUUGUGGCUUUCCGUUCCUUAUUUGAACUUCGACUAUCACACAAUUUGGUCAGACCCGGAAAGUAGAUGGUCUCGUAGGAAAAUCAAUGAUAAGUUCAAAGAUUUUGUCAACUGGGUAAUAUUUUCUCAAAAUGGGUCUGUUAAUAUUCAAAGAUUUCGUCUUUGCUGCUGGGAUUAUUUAGCAAGUUACGAUAACGAUAGAACGAUUUACAGAUGGGUUUCUGCUAUGGCACGUCGAAACGUGCAAGUGCUUGAUCUGGCUAUAGCUUCACUAUACCCAUUUGAGUUUGACUUGCCACAUAGUCUUGUAACUUGUGAUUCAUUGGUGGAACUGAAGUUGAGUUUGAGCUUUCAUGUUCACCGAUGUUUUUUAAAGCUGCCUACUGCUGCUGGUUUUAUUGGGCUCAAGUCUCUUGAUUUACAAAGUGUUGCGUUGGAUGAUAAUUUGUUUCCUGAAUUUAUUUCAAAUCUUCCCCUGCUUGAGAAUUUGUGUAUGUUGUCAUGUGUUUUUCCUGAAUUGAAGGUUCUUGACAUUUCUUCCACUAAUUUGAAGAAUUUGGCUCUGGAAUCCAUUGUUGGCAAUGAUAAUGCUGGCAAUGAUGAUGCUGGCAAUGAUGAUGCUGGCAACUACAAGCUUAAGAUUGCUUGUCCAAAUCUUGUGUCUUUUAAUUAUAUAGCUUUAGCUCCAUGGUUACCUCACUUUGCUUUUGAGAGCUUAAACUCCUUGCAAAAUGCAUUCAUUGACCUGGAUGAUUAUAACGAGGAUGACAUGGAGAACGAAAGAUGUCAUGUUUUAUCUACAAUCUUCAAUGACUUUCGUGAAGUUAAAGUUUUGAAAUUAUCAGAAGCCAUUCUUCUCGAGGUAUGAUUUCAAAUACAUUCAUUGCACCAAAUCAUGAUUCUGCCAGAACUUGUCUACACUUUUUUAUUUUGACAUUAGAAAUGAAGCUUAAGUAAACUGAAUCUACUUUCUUUGUUUGGUAAAAUAAGAAUUCUAUUGAUUAUGGAACCUUCCUAAAUGCUAAUUUGUUCUUUAGACUGUGUAUAAGUCAUUGUGACAUUGUAUGAAGUCUCAUUUAUCUGAGUAAUCAAUUGUUAUUGAUGUCAAAGACUAGAACUCAUUGGUGACUUGAGUUUAUGUAUAUUAUCGUUUGUUAGAUUUUUUGUGUGAUUAUUGCACUUAACUUGACUAAUGUAUUCUCUUUCUUUUUGCCAUUGUUCCUCCAGGUUCUUGAUCCUGAUCCUGCUCACGAAGAACCAGCAUUUUUUUCCACUUCAUUCAAUAAUUUGAAGUCCUUAAUACUUUCUGCAGGUCCGGGUGUAUGUCUCAUGCCAUCAAUGCUUAGGUUGCUCAACUGCUCUCCAAAUCUAGAAGCUCUUGCAAUAUAUUCUCCUAAGGUAAUCUUAACACCAAAAACUAUUCCAUUUGUUAGAUACCGUCGCUUCUAUCCAUUUUUUUUAAAAAUCAUAUCUCCCAUUUAUGUGCUAAAAUUUUAAUUUUGUUAAAGUGCAACUGGGCUUUGCUUAAAUUAUCGCAAUAGAGUUGAAACCUGAAAGUAUUUGUGAUAUAUUAUGUUUACCGCUUAGAGCUUAAAGUAAAUGUUAAUCUUGUGGCCUCUUGGUUGUUCCCAUGCUAUUGCUUGUUGAGCAGAUGGUUGAAUUUAGAGUCAAUCAAUCGGUUGUGUUCUUCUGAGGUUUGUGCAAGUUUUGUAAAAGAGCAAAGUUUAGUAUUUGUUUAGUUUGUGAAAAUGAUAUAGCUUUUUCUAAUUCAUCUUACUCUAUUCUUUGCUUAAAAAUGAAUUCUCCUUUUGAUUUGAUUCCUUGACUGCAUUUCGGUCUGUUUUCUCUUGGCAGCAUCGGCGUGGAUAUAAUGCUUAUAGGAAAACACCGAACAAGGCUGCUAUUUCAUGUUUGACAAAUCAUCUCAAGACAGUUGAAAUAAAACAUUUUAGCGGUGAUAUGAAUCAACUUGAAAUUGUGAGGUUUCUUCUAAGGAAUGGACAUGUAUUGCAGAGAAUGAGUAUUAGAUGGGUGGCAGAUGUUAAGAAUCAAGGGAAGAUUAUCUCAAGGAUAAUGAAGUUUCGGAGAUCAUCUUCAAGUGUUGUGCUGAAAUUCCUAGAUCCUAAGCCAGCUGAUGAUUUUUCAGAUUAUUUAUUUGAUGAUGAGCAAAAGAACUAAAAUUAUGUUUAAAUUAAAAAAAAAAAAAGUGGUUUAAGUGUAUGUUCGAAUUAAAUAGUCUUUUGGAUUUGUAGAAACUGAAAGGAGUACAGUGCCAGUCACUGUGGCAGCCUUAUGUUUUGUUUGAAAAAAUUCGGAAGCUUCUAAAUUGUUAUAUACCUCAAUUCUGAAGUCGUUAGUAUGUAUAUUAUAAGCAAUACAUAUGUUCCAUUUGUCAUAUUUUAUUUUGGCAUUACGAUUGUUUUGUCUUGAUUAAUAUUGAUUAUAAUUUGUUUAACAUUUAUCUGGCAUAUGUAGAAUUAUACUUUAUCUGAGUAGAUGACGCUGCUGCGUACAUCUUCAGGACUCGGUCAUAAACUGUUUAUCUCUGCGUCUGUCUAGCAUCCAUCCACGUAUGACCUGUCGGCUUUUUGCCCGCAAGCAUACAGUUAGGGGUGGUAAAAAUAUCUGUCCGGUCUGGAUUCGGUUCGCACCCGGAUGUUUUAUCCGGCCCGGUCUUGGGCAUCAUUUGAUAAAUUCGGAACCCGAGUUUUAUUAAGCGCCUUGGCCGUACAGCAGUAUAUUAUUUUAAAUAUUUAUAUUUAUUUGACUCAUUUAUUACAUAUAUAUAAAGUUUUAGACACUUAAAGUUUAUAUUUUCAUGUCAAAUUUCAUUAAAAUAAAUUUAAAACUUAUAAAAUUACCAAAAAAUAAAAAAUAUAUACAUAUAUAAUAUUAAAAAAUAUAAAAUCUGGGUACCCAAAUUAAAACCCGGCACAAUCCGACCCAGGCAUCUAUGCAUCCGGGUCGGGUCCGGUCAUUACGAUACCCCGACCCAGCCCAGGGUUUUGCCAUCCCUACAUGCAGUGUAUAUGAAUUGCAGUUCUUGUACGGACAACAUGUCAUCCAUAAAACUCGAGUUAUGUUCUUUUUAAUCUUUAGUUUAGAUUACAUUUUGCAAAACUAAUAAACGAUAGAGCUCCUAGCAAGGUCAAUAGUUAACUGCGAAUCCAGAAGAUCGGAAUGCUAUACCUUUCAAACAUGCAUUUCAAAGCCAUCUGCGGAAAUGGAAAACAAGCAUUUCAAACUCGUUGUUAAAACAAUGAUAAAAGUAAUUUUAAUCCUAAUUUUUAAUUCCAGGCAUGAAGCUAACUCAUAUACAAAGAGAUAUCAAGUAAGCAGAGGCGAAAGCUAAAAGCUUUGGUUACAGGGGUCGGUGUGAAUAAUGUAUAUAUCGUUUAGACAUAUUUUUGAAUAUCUAUUUUAAUUUAGGGGAUAUUAUAUAUAUUUAAAAAAAAUUAAAAUUUUUACGGGAGCCAUGGCUUACUAUAGUCUCCAUUAAGAUUCACCCUCCCUACUUUUCGUACUUCAUUAAAGUAUAGGAUAAAUAUUUACAAUAUUAUAAAUAGAUUUUAUAAAAGCAGUCCAUAUAUGAAAGUCCUUCUGCACUCUGAAUUAAAUAAAAAUAACGUGAGACUAACAAUUUAAGAGUCUUUUUUGCAACGUAUAUCGUGCAGUGAUGUACUCUAUCGACGGAGGACUCUCUUCAUAUGCUUUUUAUUUUUCCAUGCCUGAUUAUAAAUAGGAUCACUCUAUGUUACAUUAAACGUAACGUACACACACUCACAACAACAGUAACAAGUCCCAUCAUUAGAACUGUUGCUGUGAGUGCGUGUAUGUUACGUUUAACGUAACAUAUCACUAGCCUUAUAAAUAACAUCACUUUUAAGGAUUUUUACAAAUUUUUAUUACAACCGUAACUUUUGUCCUCAUACAAUAACGGUGUCCAUUGUCCACAUAUAAAAAGUUCAUCAAUAAACAUAUAACCUAAUUAAAAUUCGUGACAAAAUCCAAAGGAAAGAAAGCGUGGAGUAAUAUAUAUAACAAAGGCAUUGAGCAUACACCAGGUGUAAUUUGCAUUGCAUGGCCACCCUUACGUGGCAGUUCCGCCGAUUAACACAUCUUUAAAAGUUAAAGCCCCCCUCUCUCCUUGUUAAGGGCGUUUCAACACAACACUCAUCAAUGCAAGCAAAGAGACAGUGAAGGAAAAAUUAAGAAACCAAUAUUGUCACUUGGAAGAAAGAAACAAUCAUUACAUAUAUAAUACGAUGGAUACUAAGAACAACAGGAAGCAUUUGUCCUGCAUUGCCAACGACGUCGUUCACAGAUGUGCACUGUACGUAUCUCUCUCUCUCUCUCUCUCUCCUUUUCUUUUUCUCCCCGAUCACUUUGUUUUCUUUAUAUAUACGAAUGUAUGUAGAACGUAGUAGGUUUUGUAUAAAUAUCUGUUGCACACAUUAUUUGAUGUGCAUUUAAAUAUAAUUAAUGGUAAUUGAGAUGACACACAAAGACAAUGCAAAAAAAGAAAAAAAAAGAGAGAGUAAAUUAAUGAAUUUGCCUUGAUCCAGUUAAUUUGUGUGCAUUUAGCUGACUGUAAGGUGGUUUCGAGUGUGUUUUUGUUUGGCAACUUUUCACACAAAAGCACUUUUGGGAAGCACUUUAUGUAAUGUAAGUGCCUCUAAAAACUGUUUUAUGUAUUACUGCCAAAUGCAGUGCAGAGGUUACAAUGGGAGGGUCGGUUUUAUACCUGUUCUUCGAGACUUAAUUUCAAUAGGAGAUUGAAAUAUUUAUGAGAAUUAUGUUGUUAGCAGACUUAAUUCUUUUGGAGGAAUUCAUUCCAUCGUAGACCACUCAAUGAAUUUGGUCGAUUGAGAUUAUUUGAGUGCAUGCUUCAAAACUGGAGCAUUAAUUCUUUGACAUAAAUGGGCUUUAACAUAAGGCGCGUUCGCUUAUUCCAUUUAUUCAAGAAGUUGGCACUCAAUUUUUUAUUACUAGCCUUUAGAUGGCCAGCAGCCUUUUGUAGCCCUUUCUAGUUUCUACUAAAGUGGUUAUGUGCAAUAGUUCUAUUCUGGGUUGCAAAAUUAUUGUGUCAGUAGAAUCCACAUACAUUAUGUACUUUUCUGUAUUUAAUUUCAAGAGGCUUAGUUAUAUCAUAGUUUUAGGAUUAUAAUAAGUCUGUCCGUUACCAUGUUAUUGGAAUUUUUUUUUUUUUCUAAAUUAGUUGGACACAUUAUUGGAUUGGUCAAUAAAGGAAAGCAUUUGGCAAGUACUUGGUUUGAUAUUAACAUAUAGUUGCAGUAAAGCACAUUAACUUGUGCAUCCUGAAAUUCUUGCAGGCAAGUAAAGGCUUCUGAGGAUUCAUUGGUGGAGGGGUUUGAAGCUGAAUGGAAGCCUGAAAUCGGACAGUAUUCGAAGAAAUUUGUGGAAUAUUGCAGCAUAAAGGCUCUUACUAACAUGUGCCAGAGCAUAGAAGAAAAGAUUAGUGAUGGAUCAUUUAGUCGACUCACAUUUGAUAUGAUGCUUGCCUGGGAAAUGCCUAGUGCCGCCGAUGAGGAGUCUCAUACUGUAAGCAAUCAUCAUAAUACUCAUAUCCUAUAUUUAUUUCAUGGUCCACCAAAUCAUUAUGAUAUUAUCCCAAUUUUGGUGUGCCUAUCUUCUCUUCAAGUUGCUUCUUCUAUUUCUUUUUCAUUAUACAUUCUCUGGUUCUCAUCAGUUUUCGCUCCAAUUAAAAGAAGCAUGAAUUCUUUCACUUAUCUGCUGAAUCUGUUCUAAUGAUUGGGCAAUAGAUUUUUAUUCCUCUCUGUGGUUACUACUAUUUUGAUCUUGUGCAGGAGUGCAUGGGAAAGGAGAAUGAGGAUAGAAAGGCUGUAAAAGUCACUUCAGAUCAUGAUGAAAUUCCUCUCUUCUAUACAGACAUCAUGCCUCUUCUAGUAAGAGCGUCUCUUUCUGAUCAUUUGAGUGCUAAUGUACCGACCAAGCAUUAGCCUUCACUGAAACUCGUAUAUGAUUUCAUGAACAUUGAUUAAUUGUUAUUUUUGCUAACUACUCUAUGAGAUCUGAUCAAAUUAGAUAUAUAAAUGUUGCGAUUGAUCUUGGAUUUGCUUUAUAUUUGGCCAUCAAUUAUAUUUUACUCUUCAUUUUUAUAUUUGUUUGGUUUGAUAAUUUACCCUCUGGCCCAUAUAUAUGAUGGUAGGUUAAUAAUGAACCGAGUGUUGGAGAAGAUGCAUUUGUAUGGAUGGGAUCCUUAGUUCCUCUAGUUUCAGAUGUUAUUAAUGGGAGAUUUACAUAUGAAAUUCUGACAGCGCCAACAGGAAACCGGCUCCAUUCUCCAGCAUAUGAUAUAUUUCUAAAGGAGAUGGACAAGUAAUUCUUCCAAUUCUUCCAUGCAGCAAUUUUACCACUCAGAAACUUUAAGUGCCGUUUGGUUUUGUGACAUGCAAAUUAUCAUGGAACACUCAAAAUGAGUUGUUCUUAACAAUUUCUAGAAUUUGCAAACUCACUAACCAUAUCUGAAAAUGCAGAAGCAUUAUUACCACUUAUUGAUAACAAUAUCUCUGCUCGACUUGUUUGGGUGCUUUCAGCCGUUUUUCAUUUUCUUUUGGAAAUCUUGAUUUCAUAGAUGCAUAAAACAUUUGCAAAAACAAGCAACUCCAAAGGGUGUUGAGCUGGCUGACGAUGAAUUUAUACUGCAUGUGGAGGGAACUGCAAGCACACAGAGAGUAGUGCGCCAUAUUGGGAAAACAAGUUGGCCUGGUAUGUCUUUAGUUUGAUGUCUUACAUCUUUUUAACUGCUGUAGAAAUUGUUACUUGGAUUUUACUAAUCAUAAUUGUUGUCUCUAGGUAGGCUCACACUGACAAAUUAUGCGCUCUACUUCGAGGCUUCGGGAGUAAUAACAUAUGAAGAUGCUCUAAAGAUUGACCUCUCAAAAGAUGCUGAACUAUCUGUUAAACCAACUGCCACAGGUCCAUGGGGUGCUCCGCUUUUUGACAAGGCAAUUGUAGUCGAGUCCCCUGAACAGUAAGCAUAGUUGCACUUAUAUGAAAUUACUGGAGCUAUUAGCAUCGUUAUUCUUAUUUUAAAAAUUGUUAAAUGCUUGGUAGUUAUCCCAUAAGCUAGAUUUUAAAUGCAUAACAUACAAGGCAGACAUCAGAAAGCAUUCUGAUUCGUUUAUUAAAGUUUGUCUUUUAUUAAGCUAAAGAUAUUAAUGCUGCUAGAUUUUUCUAAUUUGGUUGUAGAUAUUGGUUAGUUACACUGUCAAAUGAGCAAAUCUCGUGGAUAUUUCAUAGUGUGGUUAUGCAAUUGUUUUUUGCCCUUCACUUUUCUAGAUCUGAGGGAAUUGUCCUGGAGUUUCCAGAGAUAACUAGCUCGACAAGGCGUGAUCAUUGGCUGGCCCUCACAAAGGAGAUAAUGUUAAUGCACAAAUUCCUGUCAAAAUUCAAGGUGGAAUGUCCAAUACAAGCAUGGGAGAUGAAUGCAAGGACAAUACUUUGCAUCAUAAGACUCCAUGCAGCAAGAGAAAUGCUGAGGAUAUUGCCUCCAGAUCCCACAAAAUUCUUGAUUUUUGCUUUGUAUGAUGAGUUGCCAAAGGGAGACUACGUGCUAGAAGAGCUUGCUGAGAGUCUGAAGAAAGUUAAUUGUGGACAUCCUUCCAGUGCUAGCUCAAUUCUGAGAUGUAUGAACCUGUCAAUUGCCGCAAGUGGAGAAGUAAAAGAAGGAAAAGAACUGGAGGAACAUAAACAUAUAAGUGAUGAAAGCUGUUCAUCACUGGAAACUGCCAUCAAUCAAUCUAAAGAGCAAGCAAAGGCAAUUGAAAUUGCUAAGUCUACCACUGAGGGCCUGAAAGAUGAAGGGAUCAGUGAUAGUAUCCUUGUUCUCUUGGUAUGUUUUUACUUCCAAAUUGUUGUUUAUGCUGCUGAUUUUAUAUUGACAGAAUAAGUAAUGACAUCUCAACAAAUCAUGGUAUUGAGAGCUUGUUUGACAUUUAUCAAACACAGCAAAGAAAUUGAAUUUUAUGAAAUUCCUAUAGCACCCUAUAAUUUGUACCAAAAAAUCUCUGCACCUUUGGCAUGCUGUAUGGUAUGGAAGUAUAGCUGUCUCAGAGAGGUUACUGUUAUUUACUUUAUUUGGUUUUGUAGUAUUGAUGUUAAGUUUGAUUUAAUAAUGUAGGAGCUACUAAAGCCACUUAAAAGUGUUUUACCCUGGAUUCGAGAAGUUGUUUCAUGGGAAAAACCAGCAACCACCCUCACUGUGAUUGCAACAACUCUACUAAUAGUGUACAAGUAAGUCAGUGCUCCCUCGUAAUUUUCUUAUAUACGGAAAUUUUUUUGAAAGUGCAUGUUGAUCAAGAACCACUUCAUUACUUGGCCUAUUAAUGUGUAAACUUUGCAAAUGACUAGUAAACUAUAUAAUGGCAAUGUAGGGAGUGGGUAGGCCAGGCUAUAGCUGCUUGUUUGCUCACCAUCGUGGUGAAGAUGCUUCAGGCAAGAAAAAAAAGGUUGACAGACAAAUGCAAUGAGAUAGUAGUAUGCACUGCUUCAGAUCAGAGCACCGUGGAGAGCAUUGUGUCGGCUCAAUACAGUUUGAUAACUAUUCAUGAGAUGUUGCAGGCAGCAAACAUUAUGAUUUUGAAGAUAUGGUCGAUAUUAAUUUCAAAGGCCCGCAAGGUACUCAUUUUGAUAACCUAUGCUUUCAGCUUAGCAAUUAAAUAUCGUUUUCAAUCAAUAUUGCUUAUUCGUCGUUAGCUGAAGUUCGUUUACCUACUACAUUUGUUGGAUGUCUUCAAUUAUUGAGGAGUCUUAGUUGCAUUUCCAAAUUGUUCUAAAUCCUCGUUUCAUUUAAUGGGUUGCAGCAUGCGGACACGGUUAUGGUGGCAUUGACUGGGUUAGCAAUAGUAUUAGCAGUUGUUCCAUUCAAGUAUAUUGUCAUGGGAGGUGUGCUGUACGGCUUCAUUAUGAACUCGAAGCCAAUGAAGUACCUGGGAAACAACUCAAACGACCAAAGCGGCAACAGACGUCUAAAAGAAUGGUGGGAGUCAAUCCCUAUUAUUCCUGUUCGCGUCGUGGACAAGCUUCCUGAGUGCCCAAAAUAAUGUGUCGGCUCCUGCACAAUCACAGUUGCCUAAAUCCUCUGUUUCUGAACUUUUGUUAUCAACUUACUGCACGAUAUACACUUCUGAGUUUGCUUUUGCCAUCAGAGUAGAACUGUAUCUGAAACACAGCAUACACUUAAAUGCUCAUUACAAAUUUGGAGAAAAGCACAAGUAGAAAAGGAUUGAAGACAUUCAGUAACGUUGAAAUUCUGCAUUUUCUUUAAUUUUUGUUAUGAACAAGUUUCUUAAUUAUUUGUUCUCUUGAUGUAAAAUAGCAUAUUGCUGGGAGUAAUGAAGAUGUGACUGUGCUUUUCCUAUUAGCAUGUUAAUAAAAGCAAAAUGGAAAAUUAUUAGUUACGUCCUCUCGUUUUGCGGCUUAUUGAGCUAACAAGUAACUUCUUCAUUACUAGCGUGCAAGUUUGCAACUAGUGAAUCUCAAAUAUAACUCUACCCAAUGGAUGGAUGUACGAUGGAUGUACCUACCCAAUCAUUUAUUUCUCAUUAAAUCUGUUAAAACAGAAAAAGUCCCGACGUCAUAUUCUUCGCGCCUUUUAAAAAACGACACGUGUCGUAUCCCACUACUCGCGUGCUGGAAACUUUAACCCACUCUGACUGCGUGACAGCAGAUCAUUCCCAAUUCAUUUCAGUUUCACUGUCACUUUCACUCCUCCUCAGGCGCCUUCCGACAAACAGGAAGAAUGCAAACUUGAAAACCCCCAAAAACCCUAACGUUCCCCCGGAGACCCUAACCCACCAUAAACCCUGGCUCUUAAUCCUAGCCACUAUGAGCGACCAAGACGAGCAAUCGCGAGCUCAGAAAGCCGCCCAGUUAACAAGUCCGCUCUCAUCCUCUCUCUCGAACCUUUCUUCUUCUUCAAGAAGCAUCCCCUCUAAUCAAGAUUUCCAUUUCUUCUACAAUUUCCCUGAAUUCAAUCAACCCGUCCAAGAAAUCGCGAACCAAUCGCAGCUCCUCCUACAAUCCAUCGGCUCAUCGGAGAUUUUUAACCAACCGAUCAAUUUUCCUGAUGAGGUUGACAUCUCGGACGCCUACGACUGGCUUGUCGACGUAAACGACAACGUUUUCGAGCGUAUGGAUGUUUCUUUCGACGAAUUUAGUAAAGUAAGAGGGGAAAAUGGGGAAGGAGAUGGAAAUGAAGGUGGCUUUCAGUUGGUUUAUGGGAAGAACAAGAAGAAGGGCGACAUUGUGGGUGGCUCUGCCCCGGCCAGUGUGAAAGUGAAGGACAGGAAAGAGAAAAGCAAGGUGCCGUUUCAUAUAUCGACUAUAACAAAACCGCAAGAGGAGUACAAGAUAGUUGUGAACAAUGCGAACCAGCCGUUUCAGCAUGUUUGGUUGCAGAAGAUUGAGGACAGUGGACGGUUUAUCCAUCCUCUUGUAAGUUUGUUAUUUUUUGAAUAUUUUGAUAUUGGAUUUGACUUACUGGGUUUGUUAAAUUUGUAAUCUGAAAAUAGUACCUUUCUUAGGGACUUUUUAGUGAUCAAUUAUUUCUUUCAUUUUCUUUUUGGGUGGUUUGUGGUAUAUGUUUACGCUUAUCUUGUUUGGAAUUUGUGUGCAAUUCUUAUUAUUCAUGCGAGAAUUUUAACACUAUCAUGUGGUUCAUGCUUGCCAAAAAUAUACCAAAACACUUUUGCUUAUUGCUAUUGCUUUAUUUGUACAGGACAAUCUUUCUGUUUUGGAUUUUGUUGAUAAAGAUAUAGGGGAUGUGGAACCUGUAAAACCUCCCUCGUUGGAGCAGACACCAUUCAAGCUUGUGGAAGAAGUUAAAGAUUUAAAGGAGCUAGCUGCUAAAUUGAAGAGCGUAGAUGAGUUUGCGGUAAAGUCUGACUUCUGUGAUUAUGUUUUAUUGAUAAAUAAUGCCGUGGUUCAGCCUUACUGCA
RNAcentral lists this long non-coding RNA (30727 nucleotides) under Citrus sinensis (sweet orange). Its description in RNAcentral is "long non-coding RNA (CSIN_LNC002323)". Lineage: Eukaryota; Viridiplantae; Streptophyta; Magnoliopsida; Sapindales; Rutaceae. The record is from RNAcentral.